Molecule: ribosomal RNA, 789 nt
Filed under: uncultured archaeon
Lineage: Archaea
Description: bacterial SSU rRNA
Rfam family: Archaeal small subunit ribosomal RNA
Source: RNAcentral
ACGGCUCAGUAACACGUGGACAACCUACCCUGAAGAGGGGGAUAACCCCGGGAAACUGGGGAUAAUACCCCAUAGACUAUGGAUGCUGGAAUGCUCUGUAGUUCAAAGGUCCGCCGCUUCAGGAUGGGUCUGCGGCCGAUUAGGUUGUUGUUGGGGUAACGGCCCAACAAGCCUGUAAUCGGUACGGGUUGUGGGAGCAAGAGCCCGGAGAUGGAUUCUGAGACACGAAUCCAGGCCCUACGGGGCGCAGCAGGCGCGAAAACUUUGCAAUGCGAGAAAUCGUGACAAGGGAACUCCGAGUGCCUGUAAAAUCAGGCUGUCCGCCAGUGUAAACAACUGGUGAAGAAAGGGCCGGGCAAGACCGGUGCCAGCCGCCGCGGUAAUACCGGCGGCUCGAGUGGUGGCCACUAUUACUGGGCUUAAAGCGUUCGUAGCUGGUCUGUUAAGUCUCUGGGGAAAUCUUCCGGCUUAACCGGAAGGCGUCUCAGGGAUACUGGCAGACUAGGGACCGGAAGAGGUGAGAGGUACUCCAGGGGUAGGAGUGAAAUCCUGUAAUCCUUGGGGGACCACCUGUGGCGAAGGCGUCUCACCAGGACGGCUCCGACAGUGAGGAACGAAAGCUGGGGGAGCAAACCGGAUUAGAUACCCGGGUAGUCCCAGCUGUAAACGAUGCGCGUUAGGUGUAUCGGUGACCACGAGUCACCGAGGUGCCGAAGAGAAAUCGUGAAACGCGCCGCCUGGGAAGUACGGUCGCAAGGCUGAAACUUAAAGGAAUUGGCGGGGGAGCAC